Molecule: ribosomal RNA, 515 nt
Filed under: uncultured bacterium
Lineage: Bacteria
Description: partial 16S ribosomal RNA
Rfam family: Bacterial small subunit ribosomal RNA
Source: RNAcentral
GAUGAACGCUGGCGGCGUGCCUAAUACAUGCAAGUCGAGCGAAUGGAUUAAGAGCUUGCUCUUAUGAAGUUAGCGGCGGACGGGUGAGUAACACGUGGGUAACCUGCCCAUAAGACUGGGAUAACUCCGGGAAACCGGGGCUAAUACCGGAUAACAUUUUGAACCGCAUGGUUCGAAACUGAAAGGCGGCUUCGGCUGUCACUUAGGGAUGGACCCGCGUCGCAUUAGCUAGUUGGUGAGGUAACGGCUCACCAAGGCGACGAGGCGUAGCCGACCUGAGAGGGUGAUCGGCCACACUGGGACUGAGACACGGCCCAGACUCCUACGGGAGGCAGCAGUAGGGAAUCUUCCGCAAUGGACGAAAGUCUGACGGAGCAACGCCGCGUGAGUGAUGAAGGCUUUCGGGUCGUAAAACUCUGUUGUUAGGGAAGAACAAGUGCUAGUUGAAUAAGCUGGCACCUUGACGGUACCUAACCAGAAAGCCACGGCUAACUACGUGCCAGCAGCCGCAGUAA